UAUAACUCACAAGUGGGCCCUGGAACAGCUGUUGGGGUUAGGUGAAAUCAGAAAUAUGUUGGCACUUCAGGCUCCAGGCUUCUGGAAUUGCUAUGAAUAUUGAUCAUUGCAGAAGAGAAUCUCUGUGUGGGCUGCCUUGUUGGGGCUCUGAAUCUCGAUUUUUACCCAUAUAGACGUCAUGAUCGACACGAGAAACCCCUUGGAACAUCUUCAGCUUGUGCUCGUGAACCAGGAGGAGCUAUACGUCCCUUAGAUCCAGCCGAAACUUUUCUCCUCCACCUCGAUCGUAGCUCCAUCAUGAUCUUCAAUGCGGCUGCAGCCUUGACCUGGUUCUUGGCGAGGGGCGACAAUAAAAGCAACAACAGCCGCAAAUUGCAGAGACGUCUUUGGCCAGGGGCUGCAUGCAACACGCAGCCACAGGCAGCAGCAGGGGCAGCAACCACCUCCCGUCCGAGCAGCACCAGCGUAUGAUGCUUGCAACGCAGAGUCCUCCAUGGUCCCUCAUGACGGUCAUCUGAGUGCCACACGAGUUCCAGAGAAACGGCAAGGCAGCGAAUACGGGGAUCCUCUACUGUAACGUUCUAUACGGCCCUUAGAUAAAUUAUAUUUUUAUAUCAAA
This is a long non-coding RNA of Drosophila persimilis, 619 nucleotides long. RefSeq lists it as uncharacterized. Lineage: Eukaryota; Metazoa; Arthropoda; Insecta; Diptera; Drosophilidae. The record is from RefSeq and is a predicted model, not a curated record. The transcript has 3 exons.